RNAcentral lists this long non-coding RNA (608 nucleotides) under Fukomys damarensis (Damara mole-rat). RNAcentral describes it as "lncRNA (ENSFDAG00000028612.1)". Lineage: Eukaryota; Metazoa; Chordata; Mammalia; Rodentia; Bathyergidae. The record is from RNAcentral.
UGCUUUUCAAAGAUGAAUCUUGCCUAUCAUUUGGUGGUGAAAAUUGUCCAGUGGGCUAUAUCUUUGCAUCUAAAUAUACAUCUUUCAGUCCUGAAGAAUGGGAGAAUUCCAAGGUCUCUUCCUGACGCUGGCACUGAGCUCACUACAGAAAUCACCUAUGUUAUUCCAGAUGAGACUAACUUCAAAGCUGAGCUAUAGAAUAAUGAGAAGUAACAAUUGUCUGCUAUGAGCCAGUAGUUUUGGAGUGGCUCAGUAAGCAGGAAGAAAGAACGACCCCUUGCGUUAAUCCACCUAGGAUAUGGAGUUCAUUCAUGUUUCAGUGACUUGCCAUGAAGUCCUCCUGCAGAAACCACACUCAGUUUGCCCCUGAAAGUGAGUCAGAUGAAGUCAUUACUAAGAGGAAUUUGCUUGUAUUAACAAAGAGGCCUGGGAACAGAUGGGCACCACCUGACUCAGAAGAGUCUAAUGUACGAUUCACUGUGCUUCACAGGAAAUCAAGCAACAAUGCAGAAGGCGAUGCAGCACCUCAGCAACCAGUCACACACAGUAGGGAAAAUUUACUGAAUCCUGGGUUAAGAAUAUGCCUCUCUCUGAUAAUUGACAUUUGA